RNAcentral lists this ribosomal RNA (497 nucleotides) under uncultured bacterium. Its description in RNAcentral is "partial 16S ribosomal RNA". It matches the Rfam family "Bacterial small subunit ribosomal RNA", at positions 28 to 507 of the family's 1533-position model. The record is from RNAcentral.
GAUGAACGCUGGCGGCGUGCCUAAUACAUGCAAGUCGAGCGGACGGACGAGAAGCUUGCUUCUCUGAUGUUAGCGGCGGACGGGUGAGUAACACGUGGAUAACCUACCUAUAAGACUGGGAUAACUUCGGGAAACCGGAGCUAAUACCGGAUGAUAUUUUGAACCGCAUGGAUCAAAAGUGAAAGACGGUCUUGCUGUCACUUAUAGAUGGAUCCGCGCUGCAUUAGCUAGUUGGUAAGGUAACGGCUUACCAAGGCAACGAUGCAUAGCCGACCUGAGAGGGUGAUCGGCCACACUGGAACUGAGACACGGUCCAGACUCCUACGGGAGGCAGCAGUAGGGAAUCUUCCGCAAUGGGCGAAAGCCUGACGGAGCAACGCCGCGUGAGUGAUGAAGGUCUUCGGAUCGUAAAACUCUGUUAUUAGGGAAGAACAUAUGUGUAAGUAACUGUGCACAUCUUGACGGUACCUAAUCAGAAAGCCACGGCUAACUACGUG